This 2292-nucleotide long non-coding RNA is filed under the name Equus caballus (horse). Its description in RNAcentral is "lncRNA (ENSECAG00000033026.2)". Lineage: Eukaryota; Metazoa; Chordata; Mammalia; Perissodactyla; Equidae. The record is from RNAcentral.
CCCCAACUGGGGUGCUGAGAUUUGAGGAGGUGAAUCUAAGAGCUGUAAGACAGCUAAAUCUCAGGACCCCUGUCUUCUUUCUGUCCCCUCAGCUGAACCACAGUCCUCUGUACUCGCCCAGGAGCCACAGAGAGUGAACAUCCCUCAGGUGAGCUCUUUAUUCAUUCCCCACUUUAUAUUGUAAUGCAUUUAUAAGGUUUAGCAGGAUCCAUGCAUUAAAGGAAAAGAAGUAGAAAUAGAAAUCAAGUCAGUCUUGAGGAAAAACAUACUGUGUUUUACUAUUAAUUGUGAUGUUGGCUGUUAGCUUUGAGUGGGUAACCUUGUCAGGGUAAGUAGUUUCCCACUAAGCUACCUGUUUCAAUCUCUUUACUUGUGAUUGGGCUAUUCAGAUUCUCUGUUUCUUCUUGAUUCAGUUUUGGGAAGUUGUAUGAGUCUUAGAAUUUAUCUGUUUCUUCUAGAUUGUCCACUUUGUUGCUAUAUAGUUUUUCAUGGUAUUCUCUUAUAAUCCUUUAUAUUUCUGUGGUAUCUGUUGUAAUUUCUCCUCUUUCAUUUCUAAUUUUAUUUAUUUGAGCCUUCUCUCUUUUUUUCUUAGAGAGUCAGGCUAAGGGUUUGUCAAUUUUGCAUAUCUUCUCAAAGAACCAGUAAAAGUCUUGUUUAAUUAUCUGUCUCCCUUUUCAAGACCAGCUUCAAGUAUAAGAAGAAAUGGAAACCUAUUUUUCUGGUAACUUAUUUUCUAGAGACUCUCUUAUCAUGACUAUCUUCUACUUAGAGUGAUGCAAACUUGACAUUCCAUACCCAGUGUUAUUUCCCGUUAGUUUAGGUUUUAAUCUGCCUAUAUAGAAAUUUAACCAAGAACUGUUGUUGACAUCCUAAAGAGGUUAAAAAGACUAAAUCAGGAGCAGAUUCUCGUGGGGGAUAGGAGAGAAGAUAGUGAACAACAACCACCACAACGACUGGAGCAAUGUCUACAAAGGUUAUGGCAAGUUAUAAAGGAGGAGCCAUAUCUUGUCUUCAUCAGUGGACUAAAAUGGUUCUUAGGAACUGCAGAACGCUCAGUGAGGAGGCCGGAGAGAGGGCUCAGCAAGUCUCUUUCCCAGUCUAGGUCAGUGGCUUACAGAGUGGAGAAUGAGAAGAAAAUUUUAUACCUUCUAAUUAUAAGCAUUUUUUAUUUUAGAAAAAUGCCUGUAUUAGUCAGGGUUAUUCAGAGAAACAGAACCAAUAGGAAAUACAUAGAAAUUUAUAUACAUGUAUAAAAUAAGGAAUUGGCUCACGUGAUUAUGGAAGCUGAGAAGUCCCAACAUGUGCAGUAGGCAAGCUGGAGACCCAGGAUCGCUGACGGUGUAGUUCCAGCUCGAGUCUGAGUCCGAAAGCAGAAGAUUGAUGUCCCAGCUCAAAGAUAGGCAGGCAGAGAAAAAGAAUUCUGCCCCACAUAGCAUUUUGUUCUGUUCAGGACUUCAACAAAGUGGAUGAUGCUCACCCACAUUGGCAAGCAAUCUUCUUUACUAAGUCUACCGAAGCAAAUGUUAAUCUCAUCCAGAAACACCCUCAGACAGAUUAGAACAAUAUUUAAGCAGAUAUCUGGGCACCCCAUGGCCCAGUCAAGUUGACACAUAAAAUGAACUAUCACAGUGCCUUUGACAUUACUAAAGUAUUACAUUAUUGGAAGUCACAGAUACCAGUUUCCCUGUCUUUUCUGGUUUUUAUUUUCCUAAUAUUCUGUGGUUUGAAGAUGUGGAAUAAACAGUCUUUUUUCCACCAUUCUGCACUUCUAUGCAGGGAGGAUGAAGGUUUUGUCUCUCUAACUCCUGUUUCAUAGAAAGCGUGUGAUUUUAAGGUGAAAUUGUCAUUGAAAAUACAGUUGGAAAACCUGUCCAAUAACUGAGUCACCCCUGCCUUACGUGUAUUUAACACAACUAUUCUAUUAGGGAACAAAGUUGUGGUUAGUAACUUCAUCCUAAAUUGGCAGAGAAGAGAAUUGUUAUCUGGCAGAUGUUGGGUGGCAUGUGCAGUACAAAUUGAAAGUGUCCACAUAAUUCUUAGAGAGAGGCUUCCUCCCAUGAAUGGUGGAUUAUGAUUGAUCUUAGGAACCACCAUCUGCUCUAACAGUCUCUAUACUGAGUCUGAGUGAUGGAUAACACUGUGCAGAUGGGGUUAUUUUGGCAGGUGAAACUCAUGCCUGGGGUCUGCAUAGAAUUCCACAGUGGUAUCUAAUGAUCCUGUUGCUUUCACUAUUUGAGUUUGACUUAAAUUGAAAAGAAUUUGAGUAAAUAUCUAUUUUCAAGUUAUCGCGUG